RNAcentral lists this transfer RNA (74 nucleotides) under Rickettsiales bacterium. Its description in RNAcentral is "tRNA-Thr". It matches the Rfam family "tRNA". Rfam says of the family: Transfer RNA (tRNA) molecules are approximately 80 nucleotides in length. Their secondary structure includes four short double-helical elements and three loops (D, anti-codon, and T loops). Lineage: Bacteria; Pseudomonadati; Pseudomonadota; Alphaproteobacteria; Rickettsiales. The record is from RNAcentral.
GCUAUUAUAGUUCAGUGGUAGAACACAUCCUUGGUAAGGAUGAAAGGCAAGUUCAAUUCUCGCUAAUAGCACCA